GAUGAACGCUGGCGGCGUGCCUAAUACAUGCAAGUCGAGCGAACGGACGAGAAGCUUGCUUCUCUGAUGUUAGCGGCGGACGGGUGAGUAGCACGUGGAUAACCUACCUAUAAGACUGGGAUAAAUUCGGGAAACCGGAGCUAAUACCGGAUAAUAUUUUGAACCGCAUGGUUCAAAAGUGAAAGACGGUCUUGCUGUCACUUAUAGAUGGAUCCGCGCUGCAUUAGCUAGUUGGUAAGGUAACGGCUUACCAAGGCAACGAUGCAUAGCCGACCUGAGAGGGUGAUCGGCCACACUGGAACUGAGACACGGUCCAGACUCCUACGGGAGGCAGCAGUAGGGAAUCUUCCGCAAUGGGCGAAAGCCUGACGGAGCAACGCCGCGUGAGUGAUGAAGGUCUUCGGAUCGUAAAACUCUGUUAUUAGGGAAGAACAUAUGUGUAAGUAACUGUGCACAUCUUGACGGUACCUAAUCAGAAAGCCACGGCUAACUACGUG
RNAcentral lists this ribosomal RNA (497 nucleotides) under uncultured bacterium. RNAcentral's name for it is "partial 16S ribosomal RNA". It matches the Rfam family "Bacterial small subunit ribosomal RNA", at positions 28 to 507 of the family's 1533-position model. The record is from RNAcentral.